This 208-nucleotide microRNA precursor is filed under the name Oryza nivara. Its description in RNAcentral is "MIR812 microRNA precursor family". It matches the Rfam family "MIR812 microRNA precursor family". Lineage: Eukaryota; Viridiplantae; Streptophyta; Magnoliopsida; Poales; Poaceae. The record is from Rfam by way of RNAcentral.
AAAAAAACAAACCCUAAAUUUCCGUGUCCAACGUUUGACUGUCCGUCUUAUUUUAAAAAAUUAUGAAAAAAAAUUUAAAAGACAAGUCACGCAUAAAGUAUUAAUCAUGUUUUAUCAUCUAACAACGAUGAAAAUACUAAUUAUAAAAAAAUUUCAUAUAAUACGGACAGUCAAACGUUGGACACGGAAACCCAGAGUUUAUCUUUUU